Zingiber officinale is the source of this 345-nucleotide long non-coding RNA. RefSeq lists it as uncharacterized. The transcript is spliced from 2 exons. NCBI's taxonomy places the organism in Eukaryota, Viridiplantae, Streptophyta, Magnoliopsida, Zingiberales, Zingiberaceae. The record is from RefSeq and is a predicted model, not a curated record.
CUGCUUUCUCACUUCACAUCGCUAGGUCAAAAGCCCGUUCAGGGAGAUGCUACCCAUAAAACCACAGCGAUUGUCUCAGAAAGCACUGCGAUACCCGCAAUGGCUUGGGCCAUCAAUUCUUCAGCCUCAGAUUCGCUCUCCGAGAAUUCAUAUUUCUACACAGAGUGUUUCUGCUGUCAUCCAGGAUGAUCACCAACCCAAUGCAUACAAUACCAAGAAGGGGAUUCUACACCAAUGCAGUCAUGGAAAAAAAUGUAGAGUCCCUUGGUUUCCUUGUAAAACAUUUGAAUAAUUUGUAAUUACAACAGUUAUCGACUACUUAAAUUUGAUUGCAUACUCCAUGCA